RNAcentral lists this long non-coding RNA (151 nucleotides) under Dromaius novaehollandiae (emu). RNAcentral describes it as "lncRNA (ENSDNVG00000006793.1)". Lineage: Eukaryota; Metazoa; Chordata; Aves; Casuariiformes; Dromaiidae. The record is from RNAcentral.
AAAAUGAACUGUUCUGAGAACAUCUUCAAAAAGUAAUGCCAGACUGUGAGACACCUAUGGUGAAUAAUGUCUUUCCUCAUGCAGUGAAGUACUUCUUUGUGGGGUUACCAUCUUAUAACAACAUUUGGAAAUGAUAAAAGGAUAAAAUGAG